RNAcentral lists this long non-coding RNA (1466 nucleotides) under Erythranthe guttata (spotted monkey flower). RNAcentral's name for it is "long non-coding RNA (EGUT_LNC000266)". Lineage: Eukaryota; Viridiplantae; Streptophyta; Magnoliopsida; Lamiales; Phrymaceae. The record is from RNAcentral.
GCUCGAACCAUGGCAUAUGAACAAAUCUCUGACUGGCCGCUCUUGGCUAGGUCAACUUCUAAACAUAUACAUCAUUACCUGCAUCAUAAGAACCUAAUGAGCUAAUAGCUCAGCAAGUUGAAACUGAUGUAAUAGCAAUAUAUCACAUAACACGUUAUUCUCUCAACAUAUACAAUAUCACAUAUAACUUCAUUCAGAUCUUUUCUUUUGAAAUCCUUCUCUUUUUCGGGUACCCUUGAAGUGUGGUACUUGACUGAUAGCAAUAGGCUUUGGUUUUCGGAACCUGUUCAUCAUAUUUGGCCAAUAGAUAAUACGGGGUUUCCAUACCGGCCUUUCGACCUCAGGUAUUAGCCGUAUUUUAUUUCAUUAAUUGUGGGUUUUCCAUGCUGGUCUUUCGACCUCAGGUAUUUGCCACCAUGUGUUGGGUCCGCCGGUUCCUCCCGCGUCCCUUGCCUACCCGACCAUCAAUCAAGUACCAUACUCCCAUUUUCGAAAACAUAUUCUUUCAUAUCCCUAUGACUCAUCAAUCAUUCAACAUCGUGAAGAACACGUAGCAAAAGUCACAUUUAAAGCACACAUAAUUAGGUUCUUAUGAUGAGUAAAUGAAAGCUUCAACUUACCUCAAGUUCAAUAUAGUGUAUGAAGUGAAAAGAUCAGUCUCGUAUAGGUUGUGCUAGAGUCCCUGAUUAGAGAUGAAUUCAAACUUCAAAACGUAGGAUUUUCAGCUAGAAAAGGUGCAUAACUUGUUCUAGCUCUACUUCUAUGAGUUCUUAUAGUUUGAUGUUCUCUUAUGUGAGUAUAGAAGUGAAGAAAUAUGAAGAGAAGCUUAAGUAAAUUGGUCUGGUAGUUUUUGGAAGAAGGCAAGUGAAAAUGAAGACAAAAACACAAAGUCUUCACUUAUCUACCCAUUCCCAACAAGGCCAAAUGGAGGAUGAUGAUUGGAAGGCUUGUUUUUGCUGGAUUCUUGUGGUUCCUCCACGUUUUUCUAGCUUGAGAUAAGAUAUGGGCUGAUGCUUACUCAUUAUAAUCAAGUGUAAACAAUUUGAGAAUGGUCUUGUGCAACCUAGUCAACCAACCAAUCAAAUUGCACCAUUUUGCGUACUUUUGGUUUUAGUCUAAUAUGAGUUACUUCAAGUAAUUAUAUAUGUGAUUAGUCAUAUUAAAAUGUAAUUAAAAUGCAGAAAUGCAUCUAAGACAAAUAUAUCACCGUUUAGCAUAUUGAUCCCUUCUUAACCGAGAAACUUAACUUCUCACUACAAUAAAUCAUUUAAGUUAAUGUUAAAUCAUAAAGUAGAAGUUCAAUAACAUAUAUCAUUUCUUAUCACAGUUUAAGAAAAGUAUUCGAUCACGUAUUAAAACACAAUUAAGGCACAUGUGUAGCAAGUAGUCGUGAUCAUGCAUCAUGAAUAAUGAAUUAUAACUAUAUGCAUUGAUGCAAUAUGCUUAUUAUUGGCCAUGUAUGGAUG